CAGCAGUCGCCGCGGUAAUACGUAGGGUGCGAGCGUUAAUCGGAAUUACUGGGCGUAAAGCGUGCGCAGGCGGCUUUGCAAGACAGAUGUGAAAUCCCUGGGCUCAACCUGGGAACUGCAUUUGUGACUGCAAGGCUAGAGUACGGUAGAGGGGGAUGGAAUUCCGCGUGUAGCAGUGAAAUGCGUAGAUAUGCGGAGGAACACCAAUGGCGAAGGCAAUCCCCUGGACCUGUACUGACGCUCAUGCACGAAAGCGUGGGGAGCAAACAGGAUUAGAUACCCGUGUAGUCCCUGUCUCUUAUAC
RNAcentral lists this ribosomal RNA (304 nucleotides) under uncultured bacterium. Its description in RNAcentral is "partial 16S ribosomal RNA". It matches the Rfam family "Bacterial small subunit ribosomal RNA", at positions 509 to 807 of the family's 1533-position model. The record is from RNAcentral.